This 380-nucleotide unclassified non-coding RNA is filed under the name Hevea brasiliensis (rubber tree). Lineage: Eukaryota; Viridiplantae; Streptophyta; Magnoliopsida; Malpighiales; Euphorbiaceae. The record is from RNAcentral.
GUUCAAUGUUGAAUGCUUGUUGUAGGAUUACUUAUUUUAGUCUACGUUCAUCACCAUGGACAUAUGAUAAUUUUUUUUUCUUUCAAAUCUCAAGUCAAAUGAACGAAUCAAGCAUUCUUUUUUACUGGUAGUGUGAGUCUUUGAGUUAAGCAUUCUUAGGCCUUUGCUUGCAUAUAAUCUCAUGGUCUAAUGUCCAUCCUCCCCUCGUGGGUUUAUUUGUUUUGUCCUAUUUGUGGUCGAUAAUACAGAGGUAGUUUUGGAUUGCAAUUCAUAAUUGGUUUGGCGUAGUUUUACCCUCGUUUUAGACAAUGUUCCAGCCUUAAUCUUUAUCAUUGUUUAGAUUGACGUUAUCUGUCCUAAGCAUGACUGACUGUUUUUUU